Molecule: ribosomal RNA, 395 nt
Filed under: uncultured bacterium
Lineage: Bacteria
Description: bacterial SSU rRNA
Rfam family: Bacterial small subunit ribosomal RNA
Source: RNAcentral
GUGUCAGCCGCCGCGGUAAUACGUAGGGUGCAAGCGUUGUCCGGAAUUACUGGGCGUAAAGAGCUCGUAGGUGGUUUGUCGCGUCGUCUGUGAAAGCCCGGGGCUUAACUCCGGGUCUGCAGGCGAUACGGGCAUAACUAGAGUGCUGUAGGGGAGACUGGAAUUCCUGGUGUAGCGGUGAAAUGCGCAGAUAUCAGGAGGAACACCGAUGGCGAAGGCAGGUCUCUGGGCAGUAACUGACGCUGAGGAGCGAAAGCAUGGGGAGCGAACAGGAUUAGAUACCCUGGUAGUCCAUGCCGUAAACGGUGGGCGCUAGGUGUGGGGAUCUUUCUACGAUUUCCGUGCCGUAGCUAAACGCAUUAAGCGCCCCGCCUGGGGAGUACGGCCGCAAGGCU